UACAUUACUGUUCAUGUCGCUGUUUCAUUAAUCACGAAUUGAUUUUUCUUCGCUAUAUAUGAUCCUACUUGGUCCUGCAGUUGAUAGAUGAAUCGCCGAUUGUUGAUUUUGCGUCACUGACUCUGAUUACUUUAGGGAAUGGUUAUUGGGAGUCGAUGAGGAUGGAUGGGACUAACAGUGCUGGGAAUUCAUACCUGUAUUUUGCUGAAAUAUCCUCCUCCAGGUUCAUAAUUCACAGGAUAUAGGGCGAACUAGUUGGUUACUCUACUGU
Neltuma alba is the source of this 271-nucleotide long non-coding RNA. RefSeq lists it as uncharacterized. Lineage: Eukaryota; Viridiplantae; Streptophyta; Magnoliopsida; Fabales; Fabaceae. The record is from RefSeq and is a predicted model, not a curated record. The transcript has 3 exons.